RNAcentral lists this ribosomal RNA (58 nucleotides) under Streptomyces sp. NRRL F-4711. RNAcentral describes it as "partial 23S ribosomal RNA". Lineage: Bacteria; Bacillati; Actinomycetota; Actinomycetes; Kitasatosporales; Streptomycetaceae. The record is from RNAcentral.
AGCACCGUGAGGUGUGGAGGUGACCGGUACUAAUAGGCCGAGGGCUUGUCCUCAGUUG